GACGGAGGAUGCAAGCGUUAUCCGGAAUGAUUGGGCGUAAAGCGUCCGCAGGUGGCAGUUCAAGUCUGCUGUCAAAGACCGGGGCUUAACUUCGGAAAGGCAGUGGAAACUGAACAGCUAGAGUAUGGUAGGGGCAGAGGGAAUUCCUGGUGUAGCGGUGAAAUGCGCAGAUAUCAGGAGGAACACCGAUUGCGAAGGCAGCUCGCUGGGACGUAACUGACGCUGAGACGCGAAAGCGUGGGGAGCAAACAGG
Molecule: ribosomal RNA, 253 nt
Filed under: uncultured bacterium
Lineage: Bacteria
Description: partial 16S ribosomal RNA
Rfam family: Bacterial small subunit ribosomal RNA
Source: RNAcentral